GGCGUCCUAGGCCAAUUGGCAGAGCCACCAGGUCCAGACCCUGGGUAUGUCUGGGUUCGAAUCCCAGGGACGCUA
RNAcentral lists this transfer RNA (75 nucleotides) under Nocardiopsaceae bacterium. RNAcentral describes it as "tRNA-Leu". It matches the Rfam family "tRNA". Rfam says of the family: Transfer RNA (tRNA) molecules are approximately 80 nucleotides in length. Their secondary structure includes four short double-helical elements and three loops (D, anti-codon, and T loops). Further hydrogen bonds mediate the characteristic L-shaped molecular structure. tRNAs have two regions of fundamental functional importance: the anti-codon, which is responsible for specific mRNA codon recognition, and the 3' end, to which the tRNAs corresponding amino acid is attached (by aminoacyl-tRNA synthetases). tRNAs cope with the degeneracy of the genetic code in two manners: having more than one tRNA (with a specific anti-codon) for a particular amino acid; and 'wobble' base-pairing, i.e. permitting non-standard base-pairing at the 3rd anti-codon position. The record is from RNAcentral. Lineage: Bacteria; Bacillati; Actinomycetota; Actinomycetes; Streptosporangiales; Nocardiopsidaceae.